Molecule: ribosomal RNA, 253 nt
Filed under: uncultured bacterium
Lineage: Bacteria
Description: partial 16S ribosomal RNA
Rfam family: Bacterial small subunit ribosomal RNA
Source: RNAcentral
UACGAAGGGUGCAAGCGUUAACCGGAAUUACUGGGCGUAAAGCGCGCGUAGGUGGUUCAGUAAGUUGGAAGUGAAAUCCCCGGGCUCAACCUGGGAACUGCUUUCAAAACUGCUGAGCUAGAGUACGGUAGAGGGUGGUGGAAUUUCCUGUGUAGCGGUGAAAUGCGUAGAUAUAGGAAGGAACACCAGUGGCGAAGGCGACCACCUGGACUGAUACUGACACUGAGGUGCGAAAGCGUGGGGAGCAAACAGG